Molecule: transfer RNA, 71 nt
Filed under: Marmota monax (woodchuck)
Lineage: Eukaryota; Metazoa; Chordata; Mammalia; Rodentia; Sciuridae
Description: tRNA.Ala
Source: RNAcentral
GGGAUUGUGGCUCAGUGGUAGAAUGCUCACCUAGCAUGUGUGAGGCACUGGGUUCUAUACUCAGCAUCCCA